GCUUAACACAUGCAAGUCGAACGGAUCCUUCGCUUUUAGUGGCGGACGGGUGAGUAACACGUGGGAACGUGCCUUUUGGUUCGGAACAACACAGGGAAACUUGUGCUAAUACCGAAUGUGCCCUUCGGGGGAAAGAUUUAUCGCCAUUAGAGCGGCCCGCGUCUGAUUAGCUAGUUGGUGAGGUAAAGGCUCACCAAGGCUACGACCAGUAGCUGGUCUGAGAGGAUGAUCAGCCACAUUGGGACUGAGACACGGCCCAAACUCCUACGGGAGGCAGCAGUGGGGAAUCUUGCGCAAUGGGGGAAACCCUGACGCAGCCAUGCCGCGUGAAUGAUGAAGGUCUUAGGAUUGUAAAAUUCUUUCAGCGGGGACGAUAAUGACGGUACCCGCAGAAGAAGCUCCGGCUAACUUCGUGCCAGCAGCCGCGGUAAUACGAAGGGGGCUAGCGUUGCUCGGAAUUACUGGGCGUAAAGGGCGCGUAGGCGGACAGUUAAGUCAGAGGUGAAAUCCCAGGGCUCAACCCUGGAAUUGCCUUUGAUACUGGCUGUCUUGAGUAUGGGAGAGGUAAGCGGAACUCCGAGUGUAGAGGUGAAAUUCGUAGAUAUUCGGAAGAACACCAGUGGCGAAGGCGGCUUACUGGCCCAUUACUGACGCUGAGGCGCGAAAGCGUGGGGAGCAAACAGGAUUAGAUACCCUGGUAGUCCACGCCGUANACGAUGAGUGCUAGUUGUCGGCAUGCAUGCAUGUCGGUGACGCAGCUAACGCAUUAAGCACUCCGCCUGGGGAGUACGGUCGCAAGAUUAAAACUC
RNAcentral lists this ribosomal RNA (809 nucleotides) under uncultured Alphaproteobacteria bacterium. RNAcentral's name for it is "bacterial SSU rRNA". It matches the Rfam family "Bacterial small subunit ribosomal RNA", at positions 46 to 902 of the family's 1533-position model. Lineage: Bacteria; Pseudomonadati; Pseudomonadota; Alphaproteobacteria. The record is from RNAcentral.